GACGAACGCUGGCGGCGUGCUUAACACAUGCAAGUCGAACGGAAAGGCCCUGCUUUUGUGGGGUGCUCGAGUGGCGAACGGGUGAGUAACACGUGAGUAACCUGCCCUUGUCUUUGGGAUAACUUCAGGAAACUGGGGCUAAUACCGGAUAGGAGCUCCUGCUGCAUGGUGGGGGUUGGAAAGUUUCGGCGGUUGGGGAUGGACUCGCGGCUUAUCAGCUUGUUGGUGGGGUAGUGGCUUACCAAGGCUUUGACGGGUAGCCGGCCUGAGAGGGUGACCGGCCACAUGGGGACUGAGAUACGGCCCAGACUCCUACGGGAGGCAGCAGUGGGGAAUAUUGCACAAUGGGCGGAAGCCUGAUGCAGCAACGCCGCGUGCGGGAUGACGGCCUACGGGUUGUAAACCGCUGUCGCCUGAGACGAAGCGGGAGUGACGGUAAUGGGUAAAGAAGCACCGGCUAACUACGUG
This 468-nucleotide ribosomal RNA is filed under the name uncultured bacterium. RNAcentral describes it as "partial 16S ribosomal RNA". It matches the Rfam family "Bacterial small subunit ribosomal RNA", at positions 28 to 507 of the family's 1533-position model. The record is from RNAcentral.